This 394-nucleotide ribosomal RNA is filed under the name uncultured crenarchaeote. RNAcentral describes it as "bacterial SSU rRNA". It matches the Rfam family "Archaeal small subunit ribosomal RNA", at positions 53 to 453 of the family's 1478-position model. The record is from RNAcentral. Lineage: Archaea; Thermoproteati; Thermoproteota.
GCGAGUCAUUGUAGUAAUACAAGGCAGACGGCUCAGUAACGCGUACCUCACCUAACCUAUGGACGGGAAUAACCUCGGGAAACUGAGCAUUUUGCCCGAUAGAACAUUAUGCUUGGAAUGGUUUAUGUUCCAAAUGAUUUAUCGCCGUAGGAUGGGACUGCGCCCUAUCAGUUUGUUGGUGAGGUAAUGGCCCACCAAGACUAUUACAGGUACGGGCUCUGAGAGGAGUAGCCCGGAGAUGGGUACUGAGACACGGACCCAGGCCCUAUGGGGCGCAGCAGGCGAGAAAACUUUGCAAUGUGCGAAAGCACGACAAGGUUAAUCCGAGUGGUUUCUGCUAAAGGAACCUUUUGUCGGUCCUAGAAACACUGAUGAAUAAGGGGUGGGCUAGUUC